CCCACUCUCAGAAUGAAAUUUCACAAAGAGGGGGAAAAGAAUCUUUGAAUGCUCUGCUAGGGCUCUCUUGGGCAAAGAGAAGGGGCCACCGUUUCUUCAUUAGGGUACACGCAGUGCUCAGCCCCGGAGCCUGAGAGUAAGCGAGAUAUGGCAGGGAGGGCGGCGUCGCACUGGAGCCCCCAUCUGCUCUUGGGUGAACCAGGGCGUGGUUGGCUCUCUUAGGCUUAAUUGUCUCUACCGCACACUUGUACGGUUAAAUAACGUAAAGUGCCUGGCAUGUGAUAGGUCCUCAGUAGAAGUGCCCGCUUGGCCCUUGAUUUAUUUUGUGUGAAUGAAAUGCAAUUACAUACAUAAAGGAAAAUGUCACAGCCCAGAAAAAAGCCAGCCAUAAACGGUGUCUAAAUGCACAGGAAGCAGUGUUGUAUCUUGGGGACCAUCCUGGACUUGCCAAGAAUUUUAGGAUCUAGAUUUAUUAGCCUUGACACAGACUAGCUGGGCAUCCCCACUCUCGACCUCAGCUUUGUUACCUGUGAAAUGGAAAGUCGGAUGCUAGAAUCCUCUAGAAGGCAUUCAGCUUCCAGUAACUGAAAACCCACUGAUUAAUGCCUCAACCCAGGGAUUAAAUCCGGCUUGCCACCUGCUUUGGUGCAGCCCAUGACCUGAGAAUAUCUUUACAGUUUAAACAGUUUUAAAAAACCCAAAAAGGAAAUAUUUCAGGACAUUUGAAAACUAUAUGAAAUUCAAAGUCCAGUUUCAUCAAGUUCUGUUGAAAGCCAGUCACAGUCCCUCGUUUACAUAUUGCUCAUAUGUGCUUUCCCACUACAACGGCAAGGUUGAGUCGUUGACUUGAAAAGCUGAAAGUAUUUACUGGCUGGCCAUUUACAGAAAAAAAUUUCCCACUCCCGUCAUAACCAGUAAAGGUAUUUAAUGAUCUCACAUAAGAAGAAACUCAAAAGGACACGACUCUCGGUCUCCAUCCCUGAAGUUCUCUUGGCCUUUUCCUCCUGGUCACCAGAUGGCAGCUUCAGUUCAAUGAGUUACAAUCUACAUCGAAUACAGUAAAGAACAUGGAGAAAAGACUUGCUACGGCUUUUUUGGCCAGGAAAAAAAAACAAAAAAAAAAAACCCCUAUGGCACCUUCCCUUUUCCCAUUGGCCAGAGCUAGGUCACAUGACAAACCCUGGGUUCCCUCACUGGGAGGGGCCAAACUGCGGUAGCCCAAUGGGGCUGCAAAGGACUCACUUUUCUCGAGAAGUGGGGACAAGGGCCAUUUAUACGAAGCCAGCGUCCUGGUCGCACAGAAGAAAGAGGGCAAAGGGCAUGGUGUCAGCCCGAGUCACAAAGGCGCCUUGCACCUCUGGGUAGACGCAGGAUCCUUUUUAGAACUCAAAUCUGAGCGCUCUUUGUUGACUUGAAUCCACUCCGGGAACGCAGGGUGUGUUUGUGAGUGACUUCCUACAUUUAGGAUUGUUUGACCUUCCCUUCCUCCUUUAAGUUUUGCUUGGUUGGUUUGGGGCAUUGCUAUGAAUGAUGUUUCCCGAUGAAAGUCCUUCCCUGAGGCCCCACCUGUGCCUCCAGGUAGGAGAAGGUCGAGGAGUAGGCUGGCGGCAGGAGAAUUUCCCAGGGCACCGUCACCGUCCAGCCAGCUCACAGCUGAACCCAAACAGAGGGAGCGCUCCCCAGGACGGUUAGACUGAAGUCCUGCCCAGCCUCGGAGAGAAGGGGCGAACGCCUGAACUGUUUUGCAGAAAUGCAUCCUGCAAUGCGGCUACUGUUCUACAGAGCCAGGGGGAGAGGAAGCAGAGCUUCAAGUAUCAAAAGGGAACAAUUUUGAAGGCUUCCUGCCUGUACAUCUGGAAAGCUGGAAAGCCAGUUCCCUGGACUCCUCUGCAUCGGGGACCCACGAAUCCAUUGUGUUCACUCGGGACUCAGAGGCGGACAUGAGCUGUGGAAGAAGGUGGCCGCAGGCUGGGAGAGUGGCCUUUUUGAAAAGCACAGAGACAAUGUAUCUGGUCUUGGGUCUUCCGGGGAAAUACAGGAUUUUUGCACAUUCAGUCUCAAACCCCGUGGGUGGCAAUUUGCAGCUGUGAGCAACGGAGGGCUUUCUGUAAACACAGUGGGCUGGAGCAUUUGGGGGUUCUGUUGACCCGAGGGUCGUCCAGUACUCUCCUGGGUCUGAGUAGCAUUCAAGCUUGGUUCUUUGGUCAUGUCCAAAAGUCCGUAAGGAACCCAGUAAAUAAACUUGAAUAGAUGCCUUUCGGUGUGAGUUUGCUAAUGUGGAUUCUGUUGCCUGCAACGAAGGACCUGGACCUAAAUCCCAAGCAAAAUGUUAGAUCGCUGCCGGGCCCCUGGCAAAUUCUCACCACACGUUAGCGAACAUUCUGUGUUACUUGAAUGUCAUGUGGAGAGAAUGACCUAUCUGCUCUGGCUCAGCAGCACAUGUGUGAGAGGCCAACGACUUCUCUCCAACGGAACUGAACUCUCCAAACCCCUCUGUCCUGGGAGUGAAACUGAAUCUUGCCAGUCUGAGAUGAACCGUCAAGGUCAUGUUUUCUCAAGCUCAGUCAGCUAAGGCUUCUUCUCCUCUCCCCUCUGACAUGCUCUCCCGUCAUCCAUGGCCUGGGGGGCACCCAUUUCUCCUCCUCCUCCGGUUCCAUCCGAUGGGGCGUGCAAGGCUGGUGUAAGGUGCCUGGUCUGUGUGCUAACCCCUGCCACGUAAUUCUGCACUCACUGCUGUGACACCUGCCCCACUCUGCUUCCUUAGGUCCCCAGACAUCACUCUGUAUCCCCUCCUCCUAUUGCCAGGCCUCUCCGGGUUCCCCAACCUGCCUGAUUUGUGUCCCCCCCCCCACUGGGAUCCCAGAAAGCUCUUUCUUGCCACUCCAGAGCAGGCGUUCGGGAAGGGAGGCAUCUUUGCCAUUGAGGCACUUUGCCGGGCGCAGAGACCCCAGGAAGGGGUUGCACGUUCUCUAUGCUCUAGGGUCUCCAGCCCUCCGCCACCAGGCCUCGCUGCGGGUCCUCUGGUGUCAUCCACAACUCUCCCUCCCACCUCCUCAGCUUGAACUUUCAUCUUCUUUUGAGCAAGAGCAUAGCUCUUUGACCAUGGAACAUUCUUUCCCACCCUACAGUGUAUCAUAUAAAACCUCUGUUCUGAGUUCUCCAGACGCUUAACUUGAUGGAUCUCUGAGAACAAUGUUUUCUUUCCGUG
Molecule: long non-coding RNA, 3208 nt
Organism: Herpailurus yagouaroundi (jaguarundi)
Lineage: Eukaryota; Metazoa; Chordata; Mammalia; Carnivora; Felidae
Exons: 2
Source: RefSeq, a predicted model, not a curated record